This 254-nucleotide ribosomal RNA is filed under the name uncultured bacterium. RNAcentral's name for it is "partial 16S ribosomal RNA". It matches the Rfam family "Bacterial small subunit ribosomal RNA", at positions 524 to 776 of the family's 1533-position model. The record is from RNAcentral.
AACGUAGGACGCAAGCGUUAUCCGGAGUUACUGGGCGUAAAGGGCAGGCAGGCGGGUCGAUAAGUCGGAUGUGAAAUCCCCCUGGCUUAACCGGGAGAGUGCAUUUGAGACUGUCAACCUGGAGGGCAGCAGAGGAGCGUGGAAUUCCGGGUGGAGUGGUGAAAUGCGUAGAGAUCCGGAGGAACACCAGAGGCGAAAGCGGCGCUCUGGGCUGCACCUGACGCUGAACUGCGAAAGCCAGGGGAGCAAACGGG